GCCCUUUUAGCUCAGUUGGUAGAGCGGUUCACUCGUAAUGAACAGGUCGCCGGUUCGAGUCCGGUGAAGGGCU
Molecule: transfer RNA, 73 nt
Filed under: Catalinimonas alkaloidigena
Lineage: Bacteria; Pseudomonadati; Bacteroidota; Cytophagia; Cytophagales; Catalimonadaceae
Description: Bacteroidetes bacterium CNU-914 tRNA
Rfam family: tRNA
About the family: Transfer RNA (tRNA) molecules are approximately 80 nucleotides in length. Their secondary structure includes four short double-helical elements and three loops (D, anti-codon, and T loops).
Source: Rfam by way of RNAcentral